RNAcentral lists this ribosomal RNA (272 nucleotides) under uncultured bacterium. Its description in RNAcentral is "partial 16S ribosomal RNA". It matches the Rfam family "Bacterial small subunit ribosomal RNA", at positions 335 to 599 of the family's 1533-position model. The record is from RNAcentral.
GGUCCUACGGGAGGCAGCAGUAGGGAAUCUUCCACAAUGGACGAAAGUCUGAUGGAGCAACGCCGCGUGAGUGAAGAAGGGUUUCGGCUCGUUAAGCUCUGUUGGUAGUGAAGAAAGAUAGAGGUAGUAACUGGCCUUUAUUUUACGGUAAUUACUUAGAAAGUCACGGCUAACUACGUGCCAGCAGCCGCGGUAAUACGUAGGUGGCAAGCGUUGUCCGGAUUUCUUGGGCGUAAAGCGAGUGCAGGCGGUUCAAUAAAGCUGAUUUGAAA